Molecule: long non-coding RNA, 779 nt
Organism: Myotis lucifugus (little brown bat)
Lineage: Eukaryota; Metazoa; Chordata; Mammalia; Chiroptera; Vespertilionidae
Exons: 3
Source: RefSeq, a predicted model, not a curated record
AAUCUACUCAAUGCCUUCUAGAAUGAACAAAUCAAACCAGAGUCACCGCCAUGCCUGUGAUUUUCUUGGGCAGACACCCAGCUGUUCGUUUCUUCUGCAGCCCAAUGAUAUCAGCUAGAAAAUCAGAUGAUGGAAAAGGCAACGGAAUUUCUGCAAAUAACGUAACAGGACCACUGUGAGAACUAAAGAUGACGCACGCAGCAUGAUUGAUGUAGGCUGAGCACACAGGUAGCAUUCAAGAAAUGAAGCACAAAAGAAAAUGGACGCCCAAGGAGAUUGAAUAGGGCUCACCAACUGAAGUGCCCGCAGGGGCCAAUACAUGAGCCAGUCCAGUAGAAACUGGUGGAGGCUGUGGGAGAAUGGAGAGCACACGUCUCCUGUGAAGAUGACAGCUGCUAUUCAGCUCCAGGGAAAUCCAAACCCAAGUAGAACCAGGAAAUGUGUAGCUGACUCAGUCUCCACAGUACAAAAACCACAACGUUGCUCAGGUGGUUUUGGUGAAAAAGCUGGCACCAGCUGUUGAAAAAUCAAGCCAACACAGCUAAGAGUGAUACCGGCAUACAGAAGGGAAGUGUGGGAAAAAGCAGUGAGCAACAGCUAAUGGAGUUUAUCGUCACUCACUGACUGCCUGGAAAUUAAAAACUGCUGUUACUGCCCAGAGUUCAAAUACAGACUCUUGAGUUAAUUAUUUAUUACAUUCAAAUUAAGUACAAUUGCAUGUGCAAAUUAAUGUAUUCAAAUCCAAAAUUCCGUUAAAAUGUGUUUCAAAUCUUAAAAUC